Molecule: ribosomal RNA, 491 nt
Filed under: uncultured bacterium
Lineage: Bacteria
Description: bacterial SSU rRNA
Rfam family: Bacterial small subunit ribosomal RNA
Source: RNAcentral
AGAGUUUGAUCCUGGCUCAGGACGAACGCUGGCGGCGUGCCUAACACAUGCAAGUCGAGCGAGGACGGGUCUUCGGACUCGAGCCGAGCGGCGGACGGGUGAGUAACACGUGAGCAACCUGCCCCUGUGCGGGGGAUAACCCGGGGAAACUCGGGCUAAUACCGCAUGGUCGGCCCUGCCGCAUGGUGGGGCUGGGAAAGGCGGCCUCUCAUGGAAGCUGCCGUGCAGGGAGGGGCUCGCGGCCUAUCAGUUGGUUGGUGGGGUAACGGCCUACCAAGGCGACGACGGGUAGCGGGUUUGAGAGGACGACCCGCCACAUUGGGACUGAGACACGGCCCAGCUCCUACGGGAGGCAGCAGUGGGGAAUCUUGCGCAAUGGCCGAGAGGCUGACGCAGCGACGCCGCGUGCGGGAGGAAGCCCUUCGGGGUGUAAACCGCUGUCACCGGGGACGAAUGUCGUGUGACCGAACAGGGAGCACGGUUGACGGUAC